AAGCCUAAUUUUCAUAAAGCUCUGGACCUGCACCCUUAUUGUUACGUGACUCAGAAGAGAAAAACGAAUAAAAACCUGUUGGUGGCCUUGGCCUUGAAGGAAGCAUUCUGCAGUAAUACUCAGGCUGCAACAAAAGUGAGUUGAUCUAGGGCACUGAGCUGAAGAUGCCCAUGGGCUAAGGAACCUCAACAGAGUGAUGCUUCGCAAAUCACAGCUGCUUCUGUGAUGUGAAAUAAUAGCUUACUUAAGAGCGGUGGCUGCAGUGGGUGUCAGGGACGUCAUUGCUAUGCUACUUCUCAACGGCUUCUCUGCCUGGCUGAGUCAAAUAUGGCACCUGUCUGGAGAAUGGGUGGUACCUAGUAACUCUAACAUGCUCUAAAGAGACAAGAAACCCAAGGCGCUGAACGUACGUUAACUCCUUUCUAGAUAAAAAAGAUUGAAAUUUAAGAGGAAUUGGGUGAUACUCCACAUUUUAAACCACAUAUUGUAGCCAGAAAUCUAAACCUUACUGCUCUCCCUAGUUUUGACCACUUCAUUCUUCCAAACACUAGUGUCCAAACAGUUGACUUCUGCAGAGCUGUCAGUCUGGGAAUUGCACUGCCCUCUGACAGAGUCCCUGUGCCCAGUCAGCUUCCCCUGCAAACCUGAAGGAUUUAGGCUAGCUGCUUUCCUCCUGUGAAGUGUUACAGCCGUUCCAUGUCUCUCAUUGGAGGAUCACCCAUGAUGAGUUGCUCCCUGCUUCUAAGAACCUGACCACUUUCAAAUGCAUUUUUUUUUUUGGUCUUUUUAGGGCCACACCUGUGGCAUAUGGAGGUUUCCAGGCUAGGCUGGGAAUCGAAUUGGAACUGUAGCUGCUGGUCUACACCACACCCACAGCAACUCAGGAUCUGAGCCAAGUCCAUGACCUACACUACGGCUUGCAGUAAUGCCAGAUCCCUAACCCACUGAGCAGGGCCAGGGAGCGAACCUGUGUCCUCAUGCGUACUAGUCAGUUUUGUUACUGCUGAGCCACAACAGGAACUCCUUAAAAAGAAUUUUUAAAGCUAACACUUAUUUAGUAUUUAUAUGAGCCAGGUAUUUUCAAGCAUUUUACAUAUAAUAAAUCAUAUCUCACAACAACAAUAUUUAACUGGUGGUAAUAUUAUUUCCAUGUUGUAGAUCAGCACCAUUCAAUAGAAAUAUAAUGUAAACACAGAAAGUUUAAAUGUUUGUUCAUAAAUAAAUGUUUAUAAACAUGUUUAAAAAUAACCGUACACCCAAAAGUGUAUUUAUAAUAUAAAUGUUAAUAAAUAUAAACAUAAACCAUUUUAAAUUUCUAGUAGCCCUAUUUUUAAAAAAAUGAAACAGUUGACAUGAAUUUUAAUAAUGUAUUUGUAACCCACUGUAUCCGAAGGAGUAUCAUAUAAAUGGGAUAUUUUAUUUGGGGGGAAGAGGAUUAGGUCAUAGACAUAAGAUAUAUAAUUUUCAUGUAUAUAGCAUCCCUCAAUUUGCAUUAACUCAUUUCAAGUGUUUAAUAGCCAUGUGUAGCUAAAAUGGUUACUGAAUGAGACAGCACAAUGACAGACAGGGAAACUGGGGCACAGAAGACACUUAACUUACCCAACAGGAGACUUUUUUUGGCUAGGAAAUGGUAAAACUAUAAUUAAAAUAUAAGUAGUCUUACCCCAGAACCUGCUCUCUGAAUCCAAUCUUCAGAAAAGAGAAAAGUGGGUGGACUCACAUGCCCCAAUUUCUAAACUUACUACAAAGCAACAACAAUCAAAAGAAUGUGCUACUGGGGUAAAGAUAACAGGCAGAUUACUGGAAUAGAACUGACAAUCCAGGAGUUCUGCUGUGGUGCCAUGCAUUAAGGAUCCGGUGUUGCUGCAGCUGUGGCACUGGUGGAAGCUAUGGCUCGGAUUCCAUCCCUUGCCUCUUCCGUAUGCUGUAGAUGUGGCAAACAGAAGAAAACUGCAUUCUAGAAACAAACCUUUACAUUUAUAGCCAAUUGAUUUUCAACAAGUGUGCCAAAACAAUUUGGUGGCACAGCAACACCGGAUCCUCAACCCACUGAGGGGGCCAGGGAUGGAACCUGCAUCCUCAUGGAUACUAGUUGGGUUUGUAACCUGCUGAGCCGCAAUGGGAACUCCUACAAUUUAUUAAUCUCUUUAAUUAGUCCCCUUACAACAUGGAGGCCUUUAGGAUCAAGAAGUGUACCAGGUUAAAAUAAAGUUUUAAAUGGGAAACUCAGUGAAGUAGGGAAAGAAAUACAACUAAAAACAUUUUUAGUGCAAUGUAUGAAUGUUGUAGAAGAAAAGUAUUCUCAAUCCUAAGAGUAUCAAGAGGAGAAAAAUAAAAAAAAAUCAUCAAGGAGGUGAAAUUUGAAGGAGCCCUUGUGAGUUUACCUCUCUCCCAGUUACUUAACCAGAAUUGGCUUCUUUGUGUAUCAGAUUCCUUCACUGUCCAGGACAUUUAAAACCCCCAAAUGGAGUCAUUUGCCUUCAGCUUGGGUGUGAAGAUAAACUAUUCACACUCUAACAAUUUCAUAUUCCAUUUGAUGAGAUUAGAGAAGAAUACAAAAAUUUACAUCAAUGAAAAGUCCACCAUUAGAGGUACCUUAGCCAAUUAUUUACCUUCCAUAAUGGGAUCACAGUUCAUUUAGAAUCAAUUAGUAAUCCUUUGCUACGCUCCUAUUAAUAAAAGUUUAAUUUAUUCACAGUUGACUUGGAACAUCACAUAAACCUGUAUGCUAUUUUCAUCCUUCUAUUUUUACUAGAAAGAUUCCUGCCAUAAUCUUCUAGGAUUACAUGUUAAAGUUUGGAUGUUCUCUUUCCAGAGUAGGCUUUAGGUUUAAAUUACCUUAUUCCUUUGUUGGUGAAAGUGAGUCAUCUCCAUUCUGUGUUGGGGUACCUGUCCCCACUUUAUUUUAUACUUGUCCCACUUAAUUUGCCUGAAGGUUAACCACGUAAACAUGGUCACAAGUAAGAUUUUAGUGUGAGAUAAAUCAAAUGAUUGAGAUUCAAGGGGAUACUUAAGAGUGAAGAUGUUCUAACAUACCCCCCAAUGAAGGAAGAUGUCAGCUCUUUCAUAAAAUCUGAGGGGGGCUUGGUGAAUACAAAGCAAUUGUGGGAUGAGCAGAUGAUUCCUAAGAAUUAAAAUUACUCAUGCCUAACCAAAGUCUUCCAUAGUCUCCCUCUACCCUUCUUACGCAUCAUUUUAUAUUGUACCUGUUAGGCGCCAUGUACUGCUCUAGGCACUUGAGAGUUAUCCAAUUAUUUCAUUCGCAGAAAAACCUUAUAAGGUAGGAAUCAUUAUUAUACGCCCCUUGUACCUGAAGAACUGAAGCACAGAGUGGUUCAGUGACUUGUCUAAAAUCCCAUGGCUGAUAAAGAGCAGAGUCAGGAUGUAACCCAGGAGUCUUCCCCUUAUGUUCAAACCCAUAACCAUUGUACUCUACUACCUCCCCAAGAUCCCGUCUGAGGUCCUAAGCCCAGAAGUCAAUUCCCUCUCCACACUCAGGUUCAAUAUUUUACUCCAUCAACAUUCAUUUAUGAUAAAAAAAAAAAACUUCAGAAAGUGGGCACAGAGCGAACAUACAUCAACAUAAUAAAGGCCAUAGAUGACAAAUCCACAGCUAACAUCAUAGUCAACAGUGAAAAGCUAAAAGCAUUUCCACUAAGAUCAGGAACAAGACAAGAAAGUCCACUCUCAUUACUUUAAUUUAACAUAGUUUUGGAAGUCCUAGCCAUGGCC
Molecule: long non-coding RNA, 3732 nt
Filed under: Sus scrofa (pig)
Lineage: Eukaryota; Metazoa; Chordata; Mammalia; Artiodactyla; Suidae
Description: lncRNA (ENSSSCG00000063470.1, ENSSSCG00090012936.1, ENSSSCG00180045777.1)
Source: RNAcentral